UUUUGUUUUGUUUUUUUUUUUUUUUUUUUUUUUUUUUUUUUUUUUUUUUUUUUUUUUUUUUUUUUUUUGAUAAACAAGGAUUUUUUUGUGUCAUUGCUAUUUAUUUCCAUUUUUAACCCACUUCAUUAUCUUUCUGCUUAUUUUUUUUCCUUUCAAACGGUUGUAAGUCUCUAUCGUGUCUGCAAUUGCUUAUACUUUUUAAGAAGAUGCAUAGGCAAGAUGUCAUUAAGUAUAGUUGGUUUCCUAUUAGCGGAUUUUGGAAUUAUAAUCUUUUUGAAGUGUUGUAGCAUAUCUUUCUCACUGAUCCACUUGCUCCUAUAAAUACAUCAGUUUGUACUUUUUUUUGAUCCUUCAUUGGUUUGUUUUUCAGGUUUAAGUGGUUGGAUCAAAACAAUCUAAGCUUCAAAUGAAGUUAUACAAAAGUAUUUUUGGUAAGGUGUUUGUAAGUGGUCGUGUUUUUGGUGGAGAUAACGUUUUCCUUACCAAUCAUUUUCAUUUUUCAUCUUCUAAAAUUGGAUUCGACUAACUUUUUUUUCUUUAAUUCUCUUUGUUAUUAUAGGUAGCUCUUGAAAUUUACCAUAAACAAGAUUCCAUUCCCAAACUCCUUCUGAUUUGAUUCCAAAAGCUCCAAUCUCAACACCAUGAAAGCAUUUAUGUUGUGGAAGCCAAGGUUUGAAGGUAAUUUCUAAACCCUAAUUUAAAAGUUUUGAAUAAAGAUUGUUGGAUGGUUUCUUGAAUUGGUGAUAAACCUUAAAACUCAUGAGAUGUUAUUGAAGCUGACAAAUUUGAGGAAUAAUUCUGCACUAAGCUGGAAAUGCUGAAUUUUUCUGAAGUUGGAAAUUUUAAGUAUUUAGAUAUCAUCUUUAAAGUUGUACAGCUUCUUUUAUAAACAUUCAAAUCAAAUCAUUUUUUAGACAAAAAUGUAAUCGGGAAUGAGAGGAAGGUGCAGCAAGUUGAUUUGACUAAUUUGGAGAUAGUAUGUAAAACCUACAACAGCUUAAAGUUGGCCACAAACUAACUUUUGGUGGUGUCAAAUUUGUUGACUUUUUGACAAAUUUGAAAAUUUUAAACAAAUUUAAUAGAAUUAUGUUAGAAUAACUUAAUAAAAUAUGAGAUGUAACUUUUAGCCAAAGUAUGACAAGUUUUGGUUGAGAAAAAUGGAAUUUUACUUAAUUUUAUAAACGACUGAAAUUGUCCGCAUGUCAUAAAAGAACAAAAACGAAAGACGUUGAUAUCUAAAUAUUUUUAUUACUUUGAAAAGAUGUUGGAACCAGAAACUUAAUAACAUGACAUGUUAGAACCUGAGAAAAAACAUUUAUGCAAAGUAGGAUGUCUGAAUGAGAAAAUGGUCAGAAUGCAUCGAUAUGAAAAGUAGUUUAAAAGGUUCCAUGAUUCUUUAUUCGUAUCUUAAACACCAUUUUUACAUUAUUAGGUUAGAUAACAUUGAGUAAACGCAAGAAUGCAUGGUAUUUGGAUAAGUUAUAAAAAUGGGACAAAAGGGCAAAAAUGUCCAAAAUGGGCUUUUUGCUUUUAUAAAGCCCAUGUUUGGGCUAAAUGCAAGUUUUUUUUUUAAGUCCAUGAUUUGGCUGAAUGGAAGUAUAUACCUAUUUUUCGCUUCAACGAGGUACUGGUAUAAUUACAGGCACAAGAUUAUGUACUACCACUUGGAGAUCUUCAAGAAAGUUGAUGUCAUAGUUUCUCCAAGUCUCGGGUGGUAUAUUGCUAUUUUCUUUAUGUUUCUUGAAAUGGAACAUUUUCAUGUCUUUGUAAUGAUCUAUCAUAUGCCCUUAUUUUACUGUUUUAUAAAACUUUUGAUCCCUCACAAUUACAUUAUUAGUAACGCACCAAAAAAAAAUCUUUGAAUUAUACACUACGUAUUUCUGGGAACACUUUGUAAAUCUAACUCCCGCAACACGGAGAUCCUUCCCUAGUUUGUUUGUAAUUUCUUAUUUACUUAAUUGUGACAUUGAAUGAGAAAUUGAGAAUGUCUUUUUCAUUUGCAUAAUUGCAUGCACUUCUAUUUUGGUUUGUUAUUAAUUUUUGUUUAUUUGUUGUUACAAUGAUUUUUGAAAUUUCAAGAGAAAAAAUGGAGAAAAACAACUAGACAACUCUACCGUAAUGUGUUUUCGUUCGUUACUAUUUACUAGUUAUUUUUUAUAUUCUUAAUAGUUACUUUGCAUCUAAAAAGGUUAAAAAAAGGUAUUUUUCA
RNAcentral lists this long non-coding RNA (2209 nucleotides) under Lactuca sativa (garden lettuce). RNAcentral describes it as "long non-coding RNA (LSAT_LNC005633)". Lineage: Eukaryota; Viridiplantae; Streptophyta; Magnoliopsida; Asterales; Asteraceae. The record is from RNAcentral.